UACGCAGGGGGCUAGCGUUGCUCGGAAUCACUGGGCGUAAAGGGUGCGUAGGCGGGUCUUUAAGUCAGGGGUGAAAUCCUGGAGCUCAACUCCAGAACUGCCUUUGAUACUGAGGAUCUUGAGUUCGGGAGAGGUGAGUGGAACUGCGAGUGUAGAGGUGAAAUUCGUAGAUAUUCGCAAGAACACCAGUGGCGAAGGCGGCUCACUGGCCCGUUACUGACGCUGAGGCACGAAAGCGUGGGGAGCAAACAGG
This 253-nucleotide ribosomal RNA is filed under the name uncultured bacterium. Its description in RNAcentral is "partial 16S ribosomal RNA". It matches the Rfam family "Bacterial small subunit ribosomal RNA", at positions 524 to 776 of the family's 1533-position model. The record is from RNAcentral.